Long non-coding RNA from Engraulis encrasicolus (European anchovy), 810 nucleotides. RefSeq lists it as uncharacterized. The transcript is spliced from 3 exons. The record is from RefSeq and is a predicted model, not a curated record. Lineage: Eukaryota; Metazoa; Chordata; Actinopteri; Clupeiformes; Engraulidae.
UCAUGAAUAGGAAAGAGUUGUGUAUAUCCCAUUGGCAUACGUGGGCAAGGGGCGGGGUCUAUUUUCCGUGUCAUGGCUCCUCCCUGUAGACUUCAAGAAGUUCCAUAUCCGGAAGUGGGCCCCGUAGACUUUCGUUUGACUGUCGACACCUUUCUCGCUGUGUCAUAUUCACUCAUCAUUGACUGAUGACCCCUGAACAGAUUUCCGGCCCUUCUUCAUACACCUUGUCUUCCACCUUCACAGUCAUGGCACAACACUCAGGAGUGCUGUGAGUUGCAUGACACCUGCAGAGGCUCCAUACUACAGACUACUACUACUCGGUACUACAGAAACCGGAUCACUUGACAAGCCUGUGUCCUGUUUUGGCCUUCCACACUCUGUAGGAUUGCAUAGGCUCCAUUUCUUCUCCCACAUCACCAUUCCAAAACAACUCCAGAUGUUUCGUUUGUAUUAUGGCCAGUUUCUUUACAUCUGUUACACUACCUGUGUUUUGCACCCAAAACUGGACUGCUCUAUCUGUUUCUUGUUUUUUAUCAUUAUCACUUGCAUUGCUGUAAAUAUGUUCCAUUAGCUCAGUUUUGCAACUAUGAAGUGUACAGUUUUGUUGUUGUAUUACUGUUACGCUGAGCAAAAAGAAACCUCAAACCUUACUCUUAGGCCUAUGUGAAUUCUUCAUGCGUGUCGUGCUCUGUCAACAGUUUGAUGCUUACAAAGCAUUCCAAGUGUCUGUAUGAUGUUCUACCAUUAUGCUAUGCCUUCACACAGUUAAUAACAAAAGGUAUACAGUAUUAAAAAUGCAUAUUCACACUA